GUGUCAGCCGCCGCGGUAAUACAGAGGGUGCGAGCGUUAAUCGGAAUUACUGGGCGUAAAGGGCGCGUAGGCGGUUGAUUAAGUUAGAUGUGAAAUUCCCGGGCUUAACCUGGGGACUGCAUUUGAUACUGAUUGACUAGAGUAUGGUAGAGGGGAGUGGAAUUUCCGGUGUAGCGGUGAAAUGCGUAGAUAUCGGAAGGAACACCAGUGGCGAAGGCGACUCUCUGGGCCAAUACUGACGCUGAGGCGCGAAAGCGUGGGGAUCGAACAGGAUUAGAUACCCGUGUAGUCC
This 292-nucleotide ribosomal RNA is filed under the name uncultured bacterium. RNAcentral describes it as "partial 16S ribosomal RNA". It matches the Rfam family "Bacterial small subunit ribosomal RNA", at positions 505 to 796 of the family's 1533-position model. The record is from RNAcentral.